UUCUUUAAUUAAAAAAAAAAAAAAAAAAAAAGGAAAAUGUUAGAAUGUGAGAAAUUCUAGAAAAUACUUAUUUUUAAAAACAACACUUGUUUUUAGUUUGCUUUGACUACCAUUCAUAGAAUGGUAGUAAUAGAACCUUGCAGCUGAUUACCUCAUACCAAUUUUUACUUCUGAGGAUUUAUGACAAUUAUCUCGCAGUACAAAGAGAUGAGUUUCUCUUGCAUACUGACAUUUUAAAACCUAGAUUUUCUUAAAAGACAAACUUAAAAAGCAUUUUUAAGCCACAAUUCUGUCUUAAAUUACUGUGUAUUUUAUAUCAUAGUAAUUGACAUGGUCAUUUUAUCAACUAGCGAUACAAUACUUUCACCCAUACGUGCAAAUUAAAGAUAUUGAACAACAAGCACCCAUGUGGCCAUGGCCCAAGUGUAAAUACGGGACACUGGUUGCCUGACACUGGCAGCCAUGAAGCCCUCAGUUUUCUCUGUCAGUGACAGCCACCUCCUUUACCCAGAGGUUCUGACUCUUGUGCUCAUUAGCUCCUUGGUUUUUGCUGUAGAUUCACCACCUACUAUAGCUUUUCCUAUUUUGAACUUUUAUUUAUCCUUGGGUGAUUUGCCUCUCAGUAAGUGGGAGUCAGCCUUGGUGUAGCUGGGAUCUUAUUUAUCUUCCCUUUGUUUAGCAUCCCAUUGCAUGGAUGGAUAUAUACUACAGGUUGCCCAUUCCCCACAGAUAAUCCGGUUUUUACUAUUACAAACUAUGCUGCUGUAUUUUUAUUGUAUGUCUCAUGGUACAUACAACUAGGGGUGUGGUCACUGGCUCACGGGGGCAUUUUCAGUUGCUUUAGUUAAUGCCCAUUUCCCAGUCAGCUUAUACUCCCAGAGGAGGGGAAGACUCCAUUCCCACAGUACCAAGGCUUGGUUUAUCAGACACUUUUAUUUUUGAAAAUCUCUUAAGUAUCGCGGGGCAAUUUUAAUUGGCAUUUCUCAUUACUAAUAAGGCUAACUGUAUUUUUGUAGGCCAUUUAGAUUUCUCAUUUCGUACUGUCCUUACUGGUCUUUCACACAUUUUUUCUCUCCCCGCCCAGCUGUAGUUCUCCAUGUAUUCUGAAUAGUUGACAUUGUAUAAAUGAUUACUGCAAAAUUUUUCCCAAUUUGUGGCCUGACUUAUUAUAUAUCUUUUGAUGAACAAAGUUCUUUCACUUCAAUGAAGUUGCAAUAUGAACCUCCUUUACAGUUAGCCUUUUUAUGGUUUAAGUUCUUUUUACCCUGAGGUCAUGGGUGAACUCUCCUCUAUUAUCUUAAAAUGGGUAAUAGUUUGCUUUUCAAAUCUAGGUUUUCAAUAAAUCUGGAAUUGUGUAUUGUAAGGUAGUAGUAAUCUGGGAAGAUUUUUUCCCAUGUGGCUAUCUAAUUGUGCCACCAUCUUUACUGAAGUGUAUCCCUUUGUUGCUGAUCUUCAGUUGCCUCCUCUGAGGUAUGUCAAUCCAUACAUUCCUGCAUCUGCCUGCCAGUUCUUUACACUAGUCUAAACUAGUACUCCAGCACUAACACACAGCUUACUCAUUACAGCUUGAUACCUGGAGGGGCAAACCCGCCCAUUUUGUUGCUCAAGCAAUCUUGACUCCUUCCAUUCCCCUGGGGCACUGUGGAAAAAAAUAACUGAGACGCCAAGGAUGAUGUUAACCGAAUUCAGGAACAUCUGCCACAUUCUGCCACUAAAAGAAAUCUUGAGAGCUAGUCUUUGCACCAAUUCCCAAGCAUAUAAGCCUAUGGUAGGUCACUCACUUUGCCUGAAUCUUCCUCAGUGGCAAAACAGAAACUGUACUACUACUAUGAAUAUUUGACUACUGAAGACUGAAAAUGAAAAUCCUGUAAAGUACAAUAUUCAGCCUGAAUGGAAAAAAUCUUAUAAAUGUUCACUAUGAGAAAAAUAGUCAAAUUAUUAAAAAGCAAGAUCUCACCGUUCUGAAAUCUCCUCUAAUAAUUCCAUAAGUUUUGCAGCCAAACCAAGGCGUCGAAAUUCUGGGGCAACAGAGAGAGCCGUGACAUGUCCGUGCCAUUCUUCCCUAGCUACAGAGCCUUCUGCUUUACCCAUAA
Prionailurus viverrinus (fishing cat) is the source of this 2093-nucleotide long non-coding RNA. RefSeq lists it as uncharacterized. The transcript has 2 exons. The record is from RefSeq and is a predicted model, not a curated record. Lineage: Eukaryota; Metazoa; Chordata; Mammalia; Carnivora; Felidae.